GCGCGUGAGAGCGGCCUCAGGUGGAGCACAUGGGACCCGGCCACGCGGCCUGCCGGGCCUGCUCGUGCUCUUUAGGCUGGGUGUCAGAUUCAGGGGAAGGAGCCAUUAGUGUCAUUCCUGACUUCUAGGAGGCCGAAGGGAGGACCCUCAUCCGCCCCGAGGACGCGCCAACGCCGCCCCCUCCCCUGUGCCCGGCGGGCCUGGCCCCUUCGGUCCCCGCCCGGGUGACCUUGGUUGGGUGAGCCGUCCGCACCUCAGUGGGUUGUGCUCCGCGCCUCGCCGCCGCUGGGCCUGGCCUCGACACUACCCGGAGAUGGGUUCAACUCCGGGCCUGGAAAGCGAGUCUUUAGCCCUUGCGGGCAGCCGGCGCCUAGGAAGUGGGAACGGAAUUACUAAAGCCCUCACCCAGGCCAGGCCCUUCUCCCCGCCGCGAAACCUUGUAUUUAUGGGCAGGAAAUGUCUUUUCUUUCAAGUGGAUGUCGUUUUUUUUCUAAAGAAUUGCUUUGGGCGGAGUUGAACCGUCCCUGGAUUGGGACUUCUGAGAUCUGAGAUUUUAUCCUGGCCCUGCCCCCUUACCAUCUCUGCAGCAGUGACUUCCAGCUUCGUGGGCCUCAGUUUCUCUAUUGUAAAAUGAAGGAGCAGUGUAUGACAGCAGUUUCAAACUUCAGUGUACAUUCGAUUCAAUACUUACUGACCUCGUACUGUGGGGGCCUUGCAGGGUUCUAGGAAACGGGUUUGGUAUAAACUAGGCUAACAAAGUCCCUAUCCUCAUGGAAUUUAUUCUAAGGUGGGGAAAGAGACAAUAAACAAGUAAUAAAUUAUUGUCUAGUAUCUAUGAAGACAAUAGUUAAACUGUGGUAAUCAGUUAGACUAGAUGGGCUACUUUUGUUUGGGUGAUAAGGGAAGACUUCUUUGAACGCAGAUGCCAAAGUAUUAGGAAUCAGGCUCGGUCUGGGACUGGACCCAGAAAUCUGCGUGUCUAGCAAGAUCCCUUUGGUGCUUAUGACUUCACUUGGAGAAGUCCUGGCUUCUGACUGGCUGUGAUCCCACGUGCUCACAUAACAUAACAGCCUGGAAUGUUGGCCAUCUCCAAAACAAGAAUUAGAGCACACGACCUGCUGGAUCUAGGAGAAGACUGAAUGAAAAGCCUCUUGGAACUGCCCCAGCCAGCAAAGCUGAGCUGUAGGAUUGUUGUAACCAGUAUGGGGGAGAAGUACUGGUAGGGAUAGCCAGGUAAUGCCAUGUCUACUUCCAACUCUUGGGUUAUUCAGCCUCCAAGCCUUGGCCAGCUAGCCGCACUUCCCUGGACCCCUCUCCUGGUGGAAAAAUGGGGGUAAAUAAUGCCUGACUUGCUUCCACCCUCUGAGCUCAUGUGAAGGUCAAGUGAGACAAUGUUAGUCAAGGUGCUGUGUAAAUUUUAUAGACAAGCCAGUACGUCAAAAGAGCUACCAAGGAAGAUGAAGAAACCAAAGUUCAGAAAAGUGAAGUCCAAGGCCGGGCACAGUGGCUCAAACCUGUAAUCCCGGCACUUUGGGAGGCUGAGGCAGGCAGAUCACCUGAGGUCAUGAGUUCAAGACCAGCCUGGCCAACAUGGCGAAACACUGUCUGUACUAAAAAUACAAAAAUUAGCUGGGCAUGGUGGCGCACACCUGUAAUCCAAGCUACUCAGGAGGCUGAGGCAUGAAAAUUGCUUGAACCCAGGUGGCGGAGGUUGCAGUAAGCCGAGAUCACCCCACUGCACUCCAUCCUAGGUGACAGAGCAAAACUCCAUCUCAAAAAAAGAAAAGAAAAGAAAAAGGAAGAAAAAGAAAAGUAAAGUUCCUUAUCCAAAGUCACACAGCAGAGCCAGACAGAGCUAGGUCUCAUACCUGAAUCUCUUUAUCCUAAAUCCAGUAGUUUUUUCUACAUUAAAAUAAUGAAACUGGGGCUGGGCAUAGUGACUCACACCUGUAAUCCUAACACUUUGAAAGGCCAAAGCAGGAGGAUCACUUGAACCUAGGAGUUAGAGAUCAGCCUGGACAACACAGUGAGACCCUGUCUCUAUUUUUUUUAAGUUUUAAUAAAAAAAUGAUGGAAUUGGGAUUUGAAUUCAGGUUUUUUUGAUUCCUAACCAACUAUGGUAUUUUAUAUGCAUAUAUUUCUAAAUACAGUCAUCCUCCCUUAUCCCAGUGCAUGCCUGAAACCCCAAAUAGUACCAAACUCUAUAUAUACUAUGUUUUUCCUAUAUAUACUUACCUAUAAUAAAGUUUAAUAUAUAAAUUAGGCACAGUAAGAGAUAAACAACAAUAAAUAAUAAAAUAGAACAAUUAUAACCAUAGACAGUAAUAAAAUUUAUGUGACUGUGCUCUUUCUCUCUCAAAACAUCUUAUUGUAUGUAAUAUUUUCUGACCACAGUUGGCCACAGGUAACUGAAACAUCAGGAAGCAAAACCACAGAUAAGAGGGG
RNAcentral lists this long non-coding RNA (2445 nucleotides) under Homo sapiens (human). Its description in RNAcentral is "HSALNT0096521". The record is from RNAcentral. Lineage: Eukaryota; Metazoa; Chordata; Mammalia; Primates; Hominidae.